RNAcentral lists this ribosomal RNA (886 nucleotides) under uncultured archaeon. RNAcentral's name for it is "bacterial SSU rRNA". It matches the Rfam family "Archaeal small subunit ribosomal RNA", at positions 459 to 1344 of the family's 1478-position model. The record is from RNAcentral.
CAGCCGCCGCGGUAAUACCAGCCCCUCGAGUGGUGGGGAUGAUUAUUUGGCCUAAAGCGUCCGUAGCCGGCCGGGUAAGUUUCCCGUUAAAUCCAGCGUCUCAAGCGUUGGACUGCGGGAAAUACUGCCCGGCUAGAGAGUGGGAGAGGUGUACGGUAUUCUGGGGGUAGGGGCGAAAUCCUUUGAUCCCCGGAGGACCACCAGUGGCGAAGGCUGUACACUAGAACACGUCUGACGGUCAGGGACGAAAGCUGGGGUAGCGAACCGGAUUAGAUACCCGGGUAGUCCCAGCUGUAAACGAUGCAUGCUAGGUGUUGGGUUGGCCACGAGCCACCCCAGUGCCGCAGGGAAGCCGUUAAGCAUGCCGCCUGGGAAGUACGAUCGCAAGAUUGAAACUUAAAGGAAUUGGCGGGGGAGCACCACCAGGCGUGAAGCCUGCGGUUUAAUUGGAGUCAACGCCGGGAACCUUACCGGAAGCGACAGCAGAGUGAAGGCCAGAUUGAAGAUCUUGCCAGACGAGCUGAGAGGAGGUGCAUGGCCGUCGCCAGUUCGUGCCGUGAGGUGUUCUCUUAAGUGAGAUAACGAACGAGACCCGUGCCACAUGUUGCCACCAGAAUCUAAAAAGAUUGCUGAGCACUCUUGUGGGACCGCAGCCGACAAGGCUGAGGAAGGGGCGGGCAACGGCAGGUCAGUAUGCCCCGAAUCUUCCGGGCCACACGCGGGCUGCAAUGGUAUGGACAGAGGGCUGCCACCCCGAAAGGGGGAGCCAAUCCCUAAACCAUACCUCAGUUGGGAUUGAGGGCUGCAACCCGCCCUCAUGAACAUGGAAUGCCUAGUAACUGCCAGUCAUCAUCUGGCGGUGAAUACGUCCCUGCCCCUUGCACAC